This 51-nucleotide non-coding RNA is filed under the name Trichobilharzia regenti. Lineage: Eukaryota; Metazoa; Platyhelminthes; Trematoda; Strigeidida; Schistosomatidae. The record is from RNAcentral.
AUCCAGUUGACAAGUCCCGAAUAGGACGAAAUGCGCGUUAAUAACCUGGAU